Molecule: long non-coding RNA, 862 nt
Organism: Oreochromis niloticus (Nile tilapia)
Lineage: Eukaryota; Metazoa; Chordata; Actinopteri; Cichliformes; Cichlidae
Exons: 2
Source: RefSeq, a predicted model, not a curated record
CCCGAGGCAGUCGCCAGUCCGAGUGUCAGGUGAACUGAACUUCAGCAUGUCUUUUGUCCCGUAUUCCUUCUCUCACCGCAAAUGGUAACUGGAUGCCCCUCCCUGAGCCUGGUUCUGUUGGAGGUUUCUUCCUGCUAAAAGUGAGUUUUUCCUUCCCACUGUCGCCAAAGUGUUUGCUCUUAAGACAUCAUAUGAUUGUUGGGUUUUUCUGUUUAUGUAUUAUUGUAGGGCUUACCUUACAAUAUAAAGCACCUUGAGGUUACUGCUGUUGUGAUUUGGCACUGUAUAAAUAAAACUGAAUUGAAUUGAAUUAAGACUGGAAUAGAAUUGGCUAAAACCUUUGACCUUUAUGAGCUGUUAACCUUGAGGUUUAAAAAGAUAAUCAUGCAGUAUGUGCACAGUUUGAAAUUGUGUGUCAUUGUGACAUCGUAGGGCAUUGCAUUGAAAACAUAGAAGGUGUGUUGUACACCUCUCUCCAUGCUCUUUCACAUGAUGUAUUACUUGAUAUGGUUUCUUGAAAAUCAAUGAAGGUCAAGUUUAUAGGUUUAGUUAACCUAGCUACAUGCCCCGACUUUCACCAACAUUAAAUCAGUUUAAGAUCCAAAUCUUUAUUCUAAACCCCAAGAGCUCAAAUAUUUUAUUUCACUCAACACUUAAAACAUGAGCACAUUAGCCAUUUUAAUAAACUAAACUGUUUAUCAAACAAUCCUUUACAUCAUUCUUGACGAACAGUCUGUGAGCUUUCAGUCCUGAUGCUCAUGCUCUUGUCCGGGUAUGAGCCAGCGUAUGCUGUCGGUCCGCAGGAUGGCGUACAGGGUGAAGCUUGUGAUGAAGAGGAUGGAGAAGACCAGCAGCCAGUCGA